CGGCAAAGUCUGGGAGGGCGGCGGCGGUAAUACAGGGGGGGAGAGCGUUAAUCGGAUUUACUGGGCGUAAAGGUGGCGGAGGCGGUGAGAUGUGUAUGAUGUGAAAGCCCCGGGCUUAACCUGGGAAGUGCAUCGUAGACUAUCUGACUGGAGUAUAUGAGAGGGUGGUGGAAUUUCCGGUGUAGCGGUGAAAUGCGUAGAGAUCGGAAGGAACGUCAAUGGCGAAGGCAGCCACCUGGCAUAAUACUGACGCUGAGGCGCGAAAGCGUGGGGAGCGAACAGGAUUAGAUACCCAGUAGUC
RNAcentral lists this ribosomal RNA (301 nucleotides) under uncultured Methanosaeta sp. RNAcentral describes it as "bacterial SSU rRNA". It matches the Rfam family "Bacterial small subunit ribosomal RNA", at positions 494 to 795 of the family's 1533-position model. The record is from RNAcentral. Lineage: Archaea; Methanobacteriati; Methanobacteriota; Methanomicrobia; Methanotrichales; Methanotrichaceae.